Molecule: non-coding RNA, 28 nt
Filed under: Bombyx mori (domestic silkworm)
Lineage: Eukaryota; Metazoa; Arthropoda; Insecta; Lepidoptera; Bombycidae
Source: RNAcentral
UCGCUCUAUUCACUCCACGGCAGCGCGC